GUCUCAUCUACACUUUGGGUGAGACCUUCUUCCCUUCAGGAAGAUUGAAAAUGCCAGCUCAUCUAUAUGAC
RNAcentral lists this transfer RNA (71 nucleotides) under Pinus taeda (loblolly pine). RNAcentral describes it as "tRNA-Phe". Lineage: Eukaryota; Viridiplantae; Streptophyta; Pinopsida; Pinales; Pinaceae. The record is from RNAcentral.